This is a non-coding RNA of Phascolarctos cinereus (koala), 492 nucleotides long. Lineage: Eukaryota; Metazoa; Chordata; Mammalia; Diprotodontia; Phascolarctidae. The record is from RefSeq and is a predicted model, not a curated record.
GGAAAAUUUGUGGUAUAUCUUGGUGCUAACCUUUGCCAUAUAAAGAAGUGUUCCUUUCUCCUCUUCACCUUAAGACAGCUGGCUGAGCCAGAGGAGUGGCAGAUCGGGAGUAUUCCUGUUAUUGCUGACUUAUAAGAAGAACACCAAACCAAGUGAGUUCAGGAAUUCACGAUCAUGCAAACAUGGAAAUCAUACUGUAUUAGGAAUUGGAAGUCCUCAGUUUCACCUACAUUUCUGCCACUAAUGAAUUUCAAGAUUUGGGAGGCAACUGGGAGCCAAUGGAGUUUACUGGAUGGAAGAGGAGGUAGUAUAAUCAGAUGUCCACUAGCAAGCAUGGGCGUGAAGGUUCAAGUAGUUAGUUGUGAUGCUGCCUUCUUGGACUGCCAUUGCAUGGGCACUAGGAACUUCUCCUUUCACUGAGCUGAAAACGUAAACCUGAUUCCAAACCCAUAGGAACCAACCUUCAUUUGCAUUUAACGGGGUGCCCAUCAA